This 259-nucleotide ribosomal RNA is filed under the name uncultured bacterium. RNAcentral describes it as "partial 16S ribosomal RNA". It matches the Rfam family "Bacterial small subunit ribosomal RNA", at positions 94 to 354 of the family's 1533-position model. The record is from RNAcentral.
CGUGGCGGACGGGUGAGUAACGCGUGGGCAACCUGCCUCGCACUGGGGGAUAACACUUAGAAAUAGGUGCUAACACCGCAUAGCGGGCGGGGGCGCAUGCCCCUGCCCUGAAAACCCAGGUGGUGCGAGAUGGGCCCGCGUCUGAUUAGCUGGUUGGCAGGGUAACGGCCUACCAAGGCGACGAUCAGUAGCCGGCCUGAGAGGGUGGACGGCCACAUUGGGACUGAGACACGGCCCAGACUCCUACGGGAGGCAGCAG